Molecule: transfer RNA, 72 nt
Filed under: Mesocricetus auratus (golden hamster)
Lineage: Eukaryota; Metazoa; Chordata; Mammalia; Rodentia; Cricetidae
Rfam family: tRNA
About the family: Transfer RNA (tRNA) molecules are approximately 80 nucleotides in length.
Source: Rfam by way of RNAcentral
UGAGAUGUAGUUCAGGUAGUAGAAUGCUUGCCUAGCAGACAUGAAGGCCUGGGUUCAACCCCAGCACCACAU